This 376-nucleotide unclassified non-coding RNA is filed under the name uncultured Actinomycetes bacterium. Its description in RNAcentral is "uncultured actinobacterium contains 16S-23S intergenic spacer region". Lineage: Bacteria; Bacillati; Actinomycetota; Actinomycetes. The record is from RNAcentral.
UCCUCUUUACAGAGGCAGUUUGUUUCGAGUUCCCGGCAUUACCCGCUGGUAACAAAACAUGAGGGUUGCGCUCGUUGCGGGACUUAACCCAACAUCUCACGACACGAGCUGACGACAGCCAUGCAGCAUCUGUGGUGCACCCUCGAAGGUCACACGUUUCCGUGCGCUUGCAGCACCAUGUCAAGUCCAGGUAAGGUUCUUCGCGUUGCAUCGAAUUAAAGAACAUGCUCCGCUGCUUGUGCGGGCCCCCGUCAAUUCUUUUGAGUUUUAGCCUUGCGGCCGUACUCCCCAGGCGGGGCGCUUAAUGCGUUAGCUGCGGCACGGAAGGGGUCGAUCCCACCCGCGCCCAGUGCCCAACGUUUACGGCUGGGACUAC